UCACUGAUGUCAUCUUGUCCCCAAAAACUCUGCUCCAUGUUUCUUGCUCAUAUCUAAAGUCCCGUUUGAGCCACUGGACAUCCAGAUUAUCAGCUGCUCCCACACAUGGCAGGUCCACUGGUUCUCCAAGUCUCACUUCAAUAAGUCUCACAUCUAUUGAAGUACAAACAGUAAUAGUGAAGUUGUUCUCAUGCGUCACGUUGCCCUCAGUCCAACACUCCUCUCGGUACGGGCCGGAGUCUGAAUGGGUCAGGUCGAGGAUGGUGUAAGAAGUUCUCCAGACUGUCAUG
This is a long non-coding RNA of Sander lucioperca (pikeperch), 290 nucleotides long. RefSeq lists it as uncharacterized. The transcript has 3 exons. The record is from RefSeq and is a predicted model, not a curated record. NCBI's taxonomy places the organism in Eukaryota, Metazoa, Chordata, Actinopteri, Perciformes, Percidae.